This 484-nucleotide ribosomal RNA is filed under the name uncultured bacterium. Its description in RNAcentral is "partial 16S ribosomal RNA". It matches the Rfam family "Bacterial small subunit ribosomal RNA", at positions 29 to 507 of the family's 1533-position model. The record is from RNAcentral.
AUUGAACGCUGGCGGCAUGCUUUACACAUGCAAGUCGAACGGCAGCGCGGGCUUCGGCCUGGCGGCGAGUGGCGAACGGGUGAGUAAUACAUCGGAACGUGCCCAGUAGUGGGGGAUAGCUCGGCGAAAGCCGGAUUAAUACCGCAUACGACCUGAGGGUGAAAGCGGGGGAUCUUCGGACCUCGCGCUAUUGGAGCGGCCGAUGGCAGAUUAGCUAGUUGGUGGGGUAAAGGCCUACCAAGGCGACGAUCUGUAGCUGGUCUGAGAGGACGACCAGCCACACUGGGACUGAGACACGGCCCAGACUCCCACGGGAGGCAGCAGUGGGGAAUUUUGGACAAUGGGCGAAAGCCUGAUCCAGCAAUGCCGCGUGUGUGAUGAAGGCCUUCGGGUUGUAAAGCACUUUUGGCGGGAACGAAAAGGACUGUGCCAAUACCACGGUUCGAUGACGGUACCCGCAGAAUAAGCACCGGCUAACUACGUG